UACAGGGGGUGCAAACGUUGCUCGGAAUCAUUGGGCGUAAAGGGCGUGCAGGCGGUUUGUUAAGUCUAGGGUGAAAGCUCCCGGCUCAACUGGGAGAGGUCCUUGGAUACUGGCAGACUUGAGGAGGGUAGAGGAGAGUGGAAUUCCCGGUGUAGUGGUGAUAUGCGUAGAUAUCGGGAGGAACACCAGUGGCGAAGGCGGCUUUCUGGGCCUUACCUGACGCUGAGACGCGAAAGCGUGGGGAGCGAACCGG
This 253-nucleotide ribosomal RNA is filed under the name uncultured bacterium. RNAcentral's name for it is "partial 16S ribosomal RNA". It matches the Rfam family "Bacterial small subunit ribosomal RNA", at positions 524 to 776 of the family's 1533-position model. The record is from RNAcentral.